AAUGUAAGUGCGCUAAUAUCGCAUUUAUUUGACGAAGGCUCCAAAGGAAGCCACGGCUAACUCUGUGCCAGCAGCCGCGGUAAUACAGAGGUGGCAAGCGUUGUUCGGAAUUAUUGGGCGUAAAGGGCACGUAGGUGGGUUUGUAAGUCAGAUGUGAAAGCCUUCUGUUCAACGGAAGAAUUGCAUCUGAAACUGCAGGUCUUGAGUGUAGGGGGGGAGAGUGGAAC
RNAcentral lists this ribosomal RNA (227 nucleotides) under uncultured Planctomycetales bacterium. Its description in RNAcentral is "partial 16S ribosomal RNA". It matches the Rfam family "Bacterial small subunit ribosomal RNA", at positions 449 to 667 of the family's 1533-position model. The record is from RNAcentral. Lineage: Bacteria; Pseudomonadati; Planctomycetota; Planctomycetia; Planctomycetales.